This 492-nucleotide ribosomal RNA is filed under the name uncultured bacterium. Its description in RNAcentral is "partial 16S ribosomal RNA". It matches the Rfam family "Bacterial small subunit ribosomal RNA", at positions 29 to 507 of the family's 1533-position model. The record is from RNAcentral.
AGUGAACGCUGGCGGUAGGCCUAACACAUGCAAGUCGAACGGCAGCACAGUAAGAGCUUGCUCUUACGGGUGGCGAGUGGCGGACGGGUGAGGAAUACAUCGGAAUCUACUUUUUCGUGGGGGAUAACGUAGGGAAACUUACGCUAAUACCGCAUACGACCUACGGGGGAAAGCAGUGGAUCUUCGGACCUUGCGCGAUUGAAUGAGCCGAUGUCGGAUUAGCUAGUUGGCGGGGUAAAGGCCCACCAAGGCGACGAUCCGUAGCUGGUCUGAGAGGCUGGUAAGCCACACUGGAACUGAGACACGGUCCAGACUCCUACGGGAGGCAGCAGUGGGGAAUAUUGGACAAUGGGCGCAAGCCUGAUCCAGCCAUACCGCGUGGGUGAAGAAGGCCUUCGGGUUGUAAAGCCCUUUUGUUGGGAAAGAAAAGCAGCAGGUUAAUACCCCGCUGUUCUGACGGUACCCAAAGAAUAAGCACCGGCUAACUUCGUG